Molecule: ribosomal RNA, 397 nt
Filed under: uncultured bacterium
Lineage: Bacteria
Description: partial 16S ribosomal RNA
Rfam family: Bacterial small subunit ribosomal RNA
Source: RNAcentral
AUACGUUGCGGGCGCGCGUUGUCAGGAAUGACUGGGCGUAAAGGGCGUGUAGGCGGCGCCGCAAGUCUGGAGUGAAAGUCCUGUUUUCAAGGGGGGAAUUGCUUUGGAUACUGCGGCGCUUGAGUGCGGACGAGGUAAGUGGAAUUCCCAGUGUAGCGGUGAAAUGCGUAGAGAUUGGGAGGAACACCAGUGGCGAAGGCGACUUACUGGGCCGUAACUGACGCUGAGGCGCGAAAGCGUGGGGAGCGAACAGGAUUAGAUACCCUGGUAGUCCACGCGGUAAACGAUGAAUGCUAGGUGUUGCGGGUAUCGACCCCUGCAGUGCCGGAGUCAACACAAUAAGCAUUCCGCCUGGGGAGUACGGCCGCAAGGUUGAAACUCAAAGGAAUUGACGGGG